Molecule: ribosomal RNA, 442 nt
Filed under: uncultured bacterium
Lineage: Bacteria
Description: bacterial SSU rRNA
Rfam family: Bacterial small subunit ribosomal RNA
Source: RNAcentral
AACGCGAAGAACCUUACCUGGGCUCGAACGGCUUCGGACAAUCCUUGGAAACAGGGACUUCCCGCAAGGGACUGGAGUCGAGGUGCUGCAUGGCUGUCGUCAGCUCGUGCCGUGAGGUGUUUGGUUAAGUCCAGCAACGAGCGCAACCCUUAUCAUUAGUUGCCAACACGUAAGGUGGGGACUCUAAUGAGACUGCCUAGGUUAACUAGGAGGAAGGCGAGGAUGACGUCAAGUCCGCAUGGCCUUUAUGUCCAGGGCUACACACGUGCUACAAUGGUCGGUACAGAGGGCUGCAAGACCGUAAGGUGGAGCAAAUCCCAGAAAGCCGAUCUCAGUUCAGAUUGUGGACUGCAACUCGUCCACAUGAAGUCGGAAUUGCUAGUAAUGGCGUGUCAGCAAUAACGCCGUGAAUACGUUCCCGGGCCUUGUACACACCGCUGUA